Triticum dicoccoides is the source of this 4966-nucleotide long non-coding RNA. RefSeq lists it as uncharacterized. NCBI's taxonomy places the organism in Eukaryota, Viridiplantae, Streptophyta, Magnoliopsida, Poales, Poaceae. The record is from RefSeq and is a predicted model, not a curated record. The transcript is spliced from 2 exons.
CAUCGCCCGCUUCUCUUUACCCACGCACGCAACCUCCUCCCCUGCCUCAAUGGCCGCCGCUCUCGUCUCCUCUUUUCCUCUCUCCCUCUCUCGUUUCCUCUCCCAUGUGACCCGCCGCCACGGGCGUCGCCAGCGGGAGAGUAGACGGCUCCGCUCUCCCACGCAGCCACACAAACGGCGUCGCCUCGAGGGAGGAGUGGGUGGGAGGAGAAGACGGCGGCGGCGUUUUCGUUCUGUGAUUUGCCUCGCACGUGCGGCGGUGGAUCGAUCCGGUUGCCCGCCGCCGUUGUCGCCUGCUCUCCCCACUCGCGUCACCCGACCCUAGAAAGCUCACGGCCUCACGGGGACAAGGUCCGCGUUGGCGGGCGCGGAGGAGGGGGAGAUCUCGGACGACGGAGACGGCUCCGCCGCUGCGGGGCGCGGCAGCCGGAGCGGGUUCGCCACGGAGAUGGCCGUUCGCGGCGUCGCCCUCGGGGAGAGAAGGGGAGGGGAGGGCCAGACGAAGAGAGGAGGGAGAGGGAGAAGGCGAGCCCAUGGAGAAGUGCCACCGCAAGCAGAUCUUGCCGUCGGCGGCAAGAAGGCCACGCCCCCCUCCACCUCGUGCGUUCACCCAGCAGUGGAAGCAAUGCCCUUUUCCCCCUGUUGAGAGAUCAAAUCAAAUUGCAUCGGUACGCCAUGCCGCCACCAAUUUGAUCAUGCAAACCUGAUGAAGAUAAUGUAUUAUGUGUGGCCAUUCAUGCAGAGUAUGUCUGGUUCGCCGGCCACUAUCUUGGAUACGAAUGAUCUAAAUGAUACCAAAAUCUUAGCAUCAAUGUAUCGCUGCAAUUUUCUGUGUUAUCUGAUUUAGCUGCAGGAAUUGUUGUAUCUUUGCCUUUCUUCCUUCAUAUUCUACUAGAUGGGUGCUACUCACUGUUGAAGUAUUUGUCAGUUAUACCGAUUGUGUUGUUGUAAUUUUCUCAGCUCUACCCUUUGAACUUUUUUUAUUUGUAUCAUUGCUGUUAGAUAUUUUGGCGCCUGGAAAUAAUAAUAAUAAUAGGAGAUGCUGUACAUACAGCAGCAUCCAUCCUCACUAAACAGUUGUAGUACUGGUUGUGGCUGAUCUUGUUUGCCAGGUCCUUUAUCAAUUCUGCCUGUUCUGGUCUAAAAUAUCUAUUCCUUCCUAUCCUAACUCAUUGGGUUAAUCUAGGAGGUUUCUCAUUGGAGCCAAUAGCAACAACCUCAUGUUUCAUAUGUUUUAAUUUGUGAGUUCUGACAUUCUUCAUUAUCUGCAUAUGAAAUCUAAUCCCUCCGUCCCAAAAUAUAAGAUCAUUUUUAACACUAUUAUAGUGUCAAAAAUGAUCUUAUAUAAUGGCACAGAGGGAGUAUUUCUGAACCUAUAUGAGAUGCAUACAUUUAGUAUUACCAGUCCGAGCUUCAGAGAAAGACUAACCAAUACAUGAUUUUUUUUGCAAGGAACCAUUACAUGAUCUCAUGGUAGUAGAUGGUUAUAUAUUUUUGCUCCACAUUGCAUUGUUAUGUUCAGAAUAUAUUCAUGCCUUAACAAUGCAGCUGGAAGCGAUACACGUGUUCACUGAACUGGAUUUUCUUACUCAACAAAAUAUAUUGUGAGGCUUGAAAAAUAGUUUCUUGAAGCAAAUGCUGGAGAGUAUAGCUAUAGUGACUAAUUAAACAUGGCAAGUAAUUUUGCAUGCCCUCUUAGUUUUAUUUUGUACAUCUUCUUGGAGUUUUACUCCAUUAAAUUUCAUUUGAGCACAUGCAUUUACUGUAUGAGAUAUUAGUCAUGUGUAAACCUUCAGUUAGCUUUGCUGGCACUGUAUUGCUGUUAUUUUCAUAGUGAAUAGAAUUGGGGACAUUGUACAUUUUGUGAUGUUAACAAGGAUCUGAGAAUGCAUUUCUUAACUAAGUCCUAUGAUCUGCUUAGUAGUGUGUACAAGAUGCUGCGUCCUUUCUCUUACUGUUGGUUGCAGAGGCUGUACCUAAAGGCUAAAAGGAUACUGGAGCUUAUGAAAGUGGAGAAACUCAGAAGGGAAAAUAUUGCAACUCAUCUACAGGUAUUGCGGUAUGGCAUUUACUUCCAUAAUGACCUUACUAUUCGAGUGUUAUGCCUUCCAUCCAUGAUUCAUGAGCAUUUGAUGCAGAGAGAGAGAGAAACUUUUACAGAAUUGGUACCAAUAUUAUCUGCAAAGUGGCCUUCUUAUCCUGUAUCAAAUUAAGAGGGCCAACUUUUGAUCAAAGAUUUUUUGAAAGAUAUAUUUUUAUGCAGUAACCCACUUCAGAUGAUGGAUUACUAAUUUUUUUUAGUAUUUACCUUCCUUACAUAUACAUGAUUUAGACCAUUUAUGUAUAUAUUGCCUUCAGCUCAUGGUCAAAUUCAUUUAUGUAUUUCUUCUACUGGUGAGUGUUACAACUAAACCGGUCAGGGCCUUAUUAAAAGUAUCUUAGACCUUCCUGUAAAUAGACAGUCAAAGCUUUCUUAUUAAAAAUCUCUACAUUUAUGUUUGAAAUAUUUAUGUUGCAUCAGCUCACAUUAUUCUUUUUUGUAUAACAUGACCCUUUGAUUCAGUUAUUUGGGUUCAUUGCUGAACUUUGUACUGGUUGUUCAUUUGUAUAGCUUAUGGCAAGGUACAUAUUCUAUUUAGCAUUCAUGUUUACCAUUGGUUAUGGGUUAAAGUCAGUAAAGAUGGCAUAUUCGCAUGUUUGCAAAUCACUUUUUGCUGUAUAUAAGCGCCAUCAAGGAUCAAGACCCGUGGACGUGUGCAAGCUAGAUAAGUACGCACAUGAACGCUCAGGAGGCGUGCCAAUGGCACGCCCCAGCCACUAGUUCUACAUACAAAAUAGACGGGGCGGCAACGCGCGCCAUCAUGGUCUAGUUCGAUUCACAGCUCCUCCACCUAGGGCAUCUCUCCUGCCGCCGCCGGCAGGCCACCAUGGCAUGCCCCAUCUACUGUUGCUAGCACAAAUCCAGCACAGCCUAUAGGCUCUCGCACGCGUGUCGAUUCCUUCGCCCAGAUCCGUUAAGUUUCAUGGGAGCCGAGACGGAUCUGUCCGCGCCGCCGCUGAGCCGACCGUGUCCCGGGAGCCGGAGACUCUCUUCAAAGACGAACAGGUAAGAUUUUGAACCAGGCCUGAGUUGUAGUCCGUGCUUGUCCGCUGCCCUUUCCUCCGGAAGUGCAACACAUAUCUGUGGAGCCGUGGAGGCGUGCUGCAUUUGGUUAGUUCAUCCUCUAAUUUCAUAGUGCCGUGUAUUGAUCUCUACAAUGUAGCCCAUAAUGGUUGGAAGUCUGCCAUGAUGUGGCUAAAAUUAUGAACUGAAAGCCAACUGUUGCAGUUGUAUGCCAACAAUGAAAGAAGUGAAAAAAUUAUGCAAGUAAAGCUAUAUCUAAUGUUAAUUGUAGUUAUGAAAAAUUCCAUGUCCCGCAAUGCAAUCUUAGCAGAUAGUAAAGUUAGUUUGGAGCAUAUAUAUGCAACAGUAUAUUUUUAAUCCUGGCAUAAUCAGAAGAUUGCUUGCUACAUGGACCAAGUUCUCGUUGAGUCACUCUCUUACAGCAUCUCGCAAAUCAUGAAAUCUAGUGUUCCUUAAAUGUUGGCUGUUGCUUUCUCUCCUAACAUGUCUAGCUGAAUUAUAAACAUAAUCUAUCUUAUAGAGUGUCAUAGAAUGUUUCUUACAUAUGGGAGUUGGAAACCACAUGCACAGCCUAGCACAAGUUCAGACCAAGUGCAUUAUUAGUCCAGCCGGCCAGAUGAACCCCAAGAAUAUUUUGACUAUCAGAAAUCCCAGUAGAAUUCUAUGUCAGACUGGGACAACUGAGUACUAGAAAUCUAUGUAGUUGUUCUCACUUCACAGCAGCUGGACUUAGAAAAGUUCGAUGACUCCAAAAUAGUUUUUUCAGUAUAAUAAACUAAGUUACUGACCAUUUAUGUUAAGCAAAGAUUUACUGUGCAUUAGCGUCCACCCAAAAAAAUCUUUGGGAACGACUAGAACCAUGCAUUGCUGGCUCACAUCAUUUUGUAGAUUCGAAACAAUUUGGGAACAUGUGACUAAUAUAAAAACUUUUUGUUUGACCCAGCUUAGGUAAUUGUUUUACUGCCAUUUCAGCAUGAUUGAGUUUCUUCAGUCAAAAGAUAGGCUUUCUUUGUCGUUUAACAAAUGUUAUAGGUAAAUACGACAUCAAAACACAUUUUUUUUGCACAUGGACAUCAACACUGUUUAGAUUCUUAGUAAGAGAACAAUGCCAUGGAGGGUGAGCAACAAAGUGUUCGUACUUGGCACACUGAACAAUGACUGCUACUUUCUUGGUUAUCUAUGUACGAAGUGUAAUACUCGUGGCGCCAGCCGUGUCUGGUUCUGUUCUUCUGAGUUCUCCGUCUGAGUCGGAGCUGCGUUGUCUGGCUGUAGGUCGACAUGUUGUCGAUUAGGGUGGGCUUUGCCCUGUGUGUUUCAGUCUUUGGGAGUGGGCUUGGCCCUUGUUGUUCCGGUUUUUGCCCGGUUUUCCGUAAUUAACUGGGCAAUUCUCUUCUGCUUAAUUAAUAGACGAGGCAAUCUUUGCCUCCGUUUCGAAAAAAAGUGUAAUACUCGUGUGCAAGUUCUUGCCAUUUAAAAAUUUAUGUCACUGCUGCAUGUAGCAUCAGAUGCCUAUUAGAGCUAGUUGCAGACAUAGUUAAGUUUCACUUUUUUGCAUGUUUUAGCAGUGUUAUCAGCUGAUAUCAAAAUAAUCAGCUGUUCUAAUCCUUGAUUUUGUCAUGUAGGUGUGUGCUUUUGUGCUUGCCAUGAGGAGAGUAAGGGCUCAUCAAGUGGUCUGUGGUAAAAUUGUUUUGUUUAGCUAUGUGAAUUUGUGAACUAAAAUGGUAUUCUUGUAUACGUUUCGGAUGUAUUCCCUAUAGAAAUGGUACUCUUAUAUAUAUGGUCACAAUGUGGUACUCUUGUGAAUUACUGGAGUACAAGAUAAAGAUGUCAGCAUGUGGUGCA